GACGAACGCUGGCGGCGUGCUUAACACAUGCAAGUCGAGCGAUGAAGCUCCUUCGGGAGGGAUUAGCGGCGGACGGGUGAGUAACACGUGGGUAACCUGCCUCAUAGAGGGGAAUAGCCUUUCGAAAGGAAGAUUAAUACCGCAUAAGAUUGUAGCUUGGCAUGAAGCAGCAAUUAAAGGAGUAAUCCGCUAUGAGAUGGACCCGCGUCGCAUUAGCUAGUUGGCGAGGUAACGGCUCACCAAGGCGACGAUGCGUAGCCGACCUGAGAGGGUGAUCGGCCACAUUGGGACUGAGACACGGCCCAGACUCCUACGGGAGGCAGCAGUGGGGAAUAUUGCACAAUGGGGGAAACCCUGAUGCAGCAACGCCGCGUGAGUGAUGACGGUCUUCGGAUUGUAAAGCUCUGCCUUCAGGGACGAUAAUGACGGUACCUGAGGAGGAAGCCACGGCUAACUACGUGCCAGCCGCCGCCGUAA
This 477-nucleotide ribosomal RNA is filed under the name uncultured bacterium. Its description in RNAcentral is "partial 16S ribosomal RNA". It matches the Rfam family "Bacterial small subunit ribosomal RNA", at positions 28 to 523 of the family's 1533-position model. The record is from RNAcentral.